Molecule: microRNA precursor, 104 nt
Filed under: Marmota monax (woodchuck)
Lineage: Eukaryota; Metazoa; Chordata; Mammalia; Rodentia; Sciuridae
Source: RNAcentral
AUAGAAUAACCUGGGGAUGUUGUUAAAAUGUAGAUUCUGAUUCAGGAUGUCCGCAGUGGUGCCUAAGGCUCUGCACCUUUAACCAGUUCCUGGGUGAAGCUGGU